RNAcentral lists this ribosomal RNA (301 nucleotides) under uncultured microorganism. Its description in RNAcentral is "bacterial SSU rRNA". It matches the Rfam family "Bacterial small subunit ribosomal RNA", at positions 9 to 311 of the family's 1533-position model. The record is from RNAcentral.
GAGUUUGAUCUUGGCUCAGAUUGAACGCUGGCGGCAGGCUUAACACAUGCAAGUCGAGCGGGGGAGAUUGCUUCGGUAAUUGACCUAGCGGCGAACGGGUGAGUAAUACUUAGGAAUCUGCCUAUUAAUGGGGACAACAUCUCGAAAGGGAUGCUAAUACCGCAUACGCCCUACGGGGGAAAGCAGGGGAUCACUUGUGACCUUGCGUUAAUAGAUGAGCCUAAGUCGGAUUAGCUAGUUGGUGGGGUAAAGGCCUACCAAGGCGACGAUCUGUAGCGGGUCUGAGAGGAUGAUCCGCCAC